CCUACGGGGGGCAGCAGUGGGGAAUAUUGCACAAUGGGGGAAACCCUGAUGCAGCGACGCCGCGUGAAGGAAGAAGUAUUUCGGUAUGUAAACUUCUAUCAGCAGGGAAGAAAAUGACGGUACCUGACUAAGAAGCCCCGGCUAACUACGUGCCAGCAGCCGCGGUAAUACGUAGGGGGCAAGCGUUAUCCGGAUUUACUGGGUGUAAAGGGAGCGUAGGCGGUUUAGCAAGUCAGAAGUGAAAGCCCGGGGCUCAACUCCGGGACUGCUUUUGAAACUGUUGGACUAGAGUGCAGGAGAGGUAAGUGGAAUUCCUAGUGUAGCGGUGAAAUGCGUAGAUAUUAGGAGGAACACCAGUGGCGAAGGCGGCUUACUGGACUGUAAAUGACGCUGAGGCUCGAAAGCGUGGGGAGCAAACAGGAUUAGAUACCCGUGUAGUC
This 440-nucleotide ribosomal RNA is filed under the name uncultured bacterium. RNAcentral's name for it is "partial 16S ribosomal RNA". It matches the Rfam family "Bacterial small subunit ribosomal RNA", at positions 338 to 795 of the family's 1533-position model. The record is from RNAcentral.